Molecule: small nucleolar RNA, 59 nt
Organism: Methanoculleus sp. MAB1
Lineage: Archaea; Methanobacteriati; Methanobacteriota; Methanomicrobia; Methanomicrobiales; Methanomicrobiaceae
Rfam family: Small nucleolar RNA sR3
Source: Rfam
GCACGUGAUGAACAAUGGGUCUCCUGAUUGAUGGAUGAUGACCCGUUGGAGCACUGAUG